Molecule: ribosomal RNA, 253 nt
Filed under: uncultured bacterium
Lineage: Bacteria
Description: partial 16S ribosomal RNA
Rfam family: Bacterial small subunit ribosomal RNA
Source: RNAcentral
UACGUAGGGGGCUAGCGUUGUCCGGAUUUCUUGGGCGUAAAGUGCGUGUAGGCGGCCAGGUAGGUCUGCUGUGAAAUUUCGGGGCUCAACCCCGAACUUGCAGUGGGUACGGGCAGACUAGAGUGUGGUAGGGGAGACUGGAAUUCCUGGUGUAGCGGUGAAAUGCGCAGAUAUCAGGAGGAACACCGAUGGCGAAGGCAGGUCUCUGGGCCACUACUGACGCUGAGAAGCGAAAGCAUGGGGAGCGAACAGG